CUCGGCGGAUCAGCCCGCUCCCGGUAAAACGGGACGGCCCGCCAGAGGACCCCUAAACUCUGUUUCUAUAUGUAACUUCUGAGUAAAACCAUAAAUAAAUCAAAACUUUCAACAACGGAUCUCUUGGUUCUGGCAUCGAUGAAGAACGCAGCAAAAUGCGAUAAGUAAUGUGAAUUGCAGAAUUCAGUGAAUCAUCGAAUCUUUGAACGCACAUUGCGCCCGCCAGUAUUCUGGCGGGCAUGCCUGUUCGAGCGUCAUUUCAACCCUCAAGCACAGCUUGGUGUUGGGACUCGCGUUAAUUCGCGUUCCUCAAAUUGAUUGGCGGUCACGUCGAGCU
Molecule: ribosomal RNA, 337 nt
Filed under: Fusarium oxysporum
Lineage: Eukaryota; Fungi; Ascomycota; Sordariomycetes; Hypocreales; Nectriaceae
Also listed under: 2 other names
Description: partial 18S ribosomal RNA
Rfam family: 5.8S ribosomal RNA (bases 104-257)
Source: RNAcentral